This 29-nucleotide non-coding RNA is filed under the name unclassified sequences. RNAcentral describes it as "L19-Flavobacteria ribosomal protein leader". It matches the Rfam family "L19-Flavobacteria ribosomal protein leader". The record is from RNAcentral.
UAACCUCUGACGAAAAAUCGUGAAUGUUA